RNAcentral lists this long non-coding RNA (278 nucleotides) under Carica papaya (papaya). Its description in RNAcentral is "long non-coding RNA (CPAP_LNC000146)". The record is from RNAcentral. Lineage: Eukaryota; Viridiplantae; Streptophyta; Magnoliopsida; Brassicales; Caricaceae.
CCAGGAGUUCAACACAUUCUACGAUAUGAAAAGAUCCCACAUAAUGGGGAUUCAACUUUUCGUUCUUACAGAACUGCAUUUUUUCCUUGUAAGGAAAGAUCUUAAGGAAGACUUGGUCACCAACAACAACUCUGGGGAUAGCUUUUUUGACAACUCUAGGUAGUGGUUAAGUUCCUUCAAAUGAUAGCAACUUUCUUGAUAGUCUCCUAAAUGAAAUCAGUUCCCAAACGAUGCUGGUUCCCAACUUUAUUCCAACAAGUGGGAGAACGGAAACCCCU